Molecule: ribosomal RNA, 496 nt
Filed under: uncultured bacterium
Lineage: Bacteria
Description: partial 16S ribosomal RNA
Rfam family: Bacterial small subunit ribosomal RNA
Source: RNAcentral
GAUGAACGCUGGCGGCGUGCCUAAUACAUGCAAGUCGAGCGAACAGACGAGGAGCUUGCUCCUCUGACGUUAGCGGCGGACGGGUGAGUAACACGUGGAUAACCUACCUAUAAGACUGGGAUAACUUCGGGAAACCGGAGCUAAUACCGGAUAAUAUAUUGAACCGCAUGGUUCAAUAGUGAAAGACGGUUUUGCUGUCACUUAUAGAUGGAUCCGCGCCGCAUUAGCUAGUUGGUAAGGUAACGGCUUACCAAGGCAACGAUGCGUAGCCGACCUGAGAGGGUGAUCGGCCACACUGGAACUGAGACACGGUCCAGACUCCUACGGGAGGCAGCAGUAGGGAAUCUUCCGCAAUGGGCGAAAGCCUGACGGAGCAACGCCGCGUGAGUGAUGAAGGUCUUCGGGUCGUAAAACUCUGUUAUUAGGGAAGAACAAAUGUGUAAGUAACUAUGCACGUCUGGACGGUACCUAAUCAGAAAGCCACGGCUAACUACGU